This 69-nucleotide transfer RNA is filed under the name Histeridae sp. BMNH 1274739. Its description in RNAcentral is "tRNA-Gln". The record is from RNAcentral. Lineage: Eukaryota; Metazoa; Arthropoda; Insecta; Coleoptera; Histeridae.
UAUGUUUUAGUAUAUUACGUACAAAGAUUUUUGAUAUCUUAGGAAGUAGGCUGUUCCUGCUAAAUAUAA